GCGGUGUUCUAGCAGGUGGCUGCUUUCUCUGGGCUGGCUGUGGGAGGCUCCCGAGGUGGGGACCCGGCCGGGAUGGCUGCAGCGGCGGCCGGGGCUGGGAGCGGGCCCUCGGCGGCCCAGGAGAAGCAGUUCCUGCCGGCGCUGCUGAGUUUCUUCAUCUACAACCCGCGCUUCUGGCCGCGGGAAGGAGAGGUAUGCGGAGGGGGCGGCGCGUGAGCGGGCGGCGUCGGUGCCCCCCAGGGGCGGCGGCCCUGUGGUUCUGCCCACCUCGAGCGGCACUGACCUAGCCUGCGUUGUGCCAGGUGCUGAGCCCGGGCCGGGGGCUGCGGCGGGGACCUGACAGCAGGCAGGGACCGCUUCAGGUCCUGGGUCGAUGUCUGUCUAUGGAAUAAAGCCCCGUCAGGUCUGUAUCACUCCACACCCCAGGUUCAGUCUCUUUGCGCUUUGCGUUGCGUCAGUUCUGGGAAAUUAAAAUUGAACUUGGCUUUGUUAAGUGGGUAGUCCCCAACUAGAAGCGUGGAAGCAGAGUGGCAGACGCUAGCCUUCAAAUGAUGCAAGCCUGGAGGACCCUGUAAAAGUUUUCACCCAAAUGAGGAAAAUUAGUUCCGGGACACGUGUGUGUGUGUGUGUGUAAGUUAGUUACGGGACACGUGUGUGUGUGUGUAAGUUCCGGGACACGUGUGUGUGUGUGUGUGUUUUCUGAGGUGGGGACGGCGACUUUCUCAAAGGAUGUCCGGAGCUGUGUUUCGUUACCAGCAAGUCAGAGUUCUUUUAAAGACUGUCCAGGCUGGGCGCUGUAACUCACGCCUGUAAUCCCAGCACUUUAGGAGGCCGAGAUGGGAGGAUUACUUGGAGCCAGGAGUUCCAGACCAGCCUGGGCAACAAAGCAAGACCCCCGACUCUACCAAAAAAAAAAAAAAAAAAAAAAAAAAAAUCGAAAAAUGAGCCAGGUGUGGUGGCACGCACCUGUAUUUCCAGCUACUCAGGAGGCUGAGGCCAGAGGAUCGCUUGUGAUUGAGGCUGCAGGUGAGCUGUAAUUGGGCCACUGCACUACAGCCUGGGUGACAGAGACCCCAUCUCCAGAAAAAGAAAAAAAAAAAAAACUCGUCAGUUCAAAUGCUUGGGAACUGGCUGGAUUUAAUUUUCAGGGAGCUAUGUGUCUGCAGAUGUGCAAACCUUUAUUUCUUACAAGCAUUGGUGUAUUACAGAUUAGCUCUAGGAAAGAAAUAUGGAGACUUGAGUUUUCAUAAAAAUUACCUGGUGCUACUUCAGAUGUGACUUAUUGACUAUCGAAAUUGCCUUCUGACUGUUGGGCAGUAUUUGCACAAUGAUGAGAUAAUUCCUGUUAUUAUUUUAAAUAGAGACGAGGUCUCACGGUGUUGCCCAGGCUGGUCUUGAACUCCUGAGCUCAGGUGAUCCUCUCACCUCGGCCUCUCAAAGUGCUAGGAUUACAAUUCCUGUUUUUCUAAAACCGGUUUUUCUUUGGUUUUGUCAUUAGCAUGUGCGACACAAGAGGUCGACACUGAACUUAGCGUUUUCAAUAGCUAAGAUGAAAUGUUUCUAUUCAUGAUGUGCUUCUGUUUCCUCAUGUUUCAGGAGGAAAAUAAGAUUUUAUUUUAUCAUCCAAAUGAGGUAGAAAAGAAGAAGAGGCCGGGCUCGGUGGCUCAAGCCUGUAAUCCCAGCACUUUGGGAGGCUGAGGCGGGCGGAUCACGAGGUCAGGAGAUCGAGACCAUCCUGGCUAACACAAUGAAACCCCGUCAAUACUAAAAAUACAAAAAAAUUAGCCGGGCGUGGUGGCGGGCGCCUGUAGUCCCAGCUACUCGGGAGGCUGAGGCAGGAGAAUGGCGUGAACCCGGGAGGCGGAGCUUGCAGUGAGCGGAGAUCGCACCACUGCACUCCAGCCUGGGCGACAGAGCGAGACUCCGUCUCCAAAAAAAAAAAAAAAAUAGAAAAGAAUGAGAAGAUUAGAAAUGUCGGAUUGUGUGAAGC
RNAcentral lists this long non-coding RNA (1990 nucleotides) under Homo sapiens (human). RNAcentral describes it as "non-protein coding lnc-ASNS-1:3". Lineage: Eukaryota; Metazoa; Chordata; Mammalia; Primates; Hominidae. The record is from RNAcentral.